This is a long non-coding RNA of Pyrgilauda ruficollis (rufous-necked snowfinch), 1132 nucleotides long. RefSeq lists it as uncharacterized. The transcript has 3 exons. The record is from RefSeq and is a predicted model, not a curated record. Lineage: Eukaryota; Metazoa; Chordata; Aves; Passeriformes; Passeridae.
UAUCCUCCUCUCCCAGCCCCUGGAUCCCCCCGGGGACCCCCGGGCCCCCAUUCCCCGCCAGCCCAGGGCACCUCAGCCCCAGGCCUCGCUUUGCUGGGAAGCCCGGGCUGGGCACGGGGCUCUGCGGCCGCUCUGGGAUUUGUGAUCCCCCAGAAGAAAGGGAGAGAACAGCAGAGAGCAAGAAGGAGACUGGCAAUCAGGGAUCGGGGUCCCAGCGCCCGUGCAGGGUCCCAGAUGGAUCCCCGAGGGAUCCUGAGGGGUGCCAGGAGGGGAUCCAGGUGAAUUCCCUGGAAUUCCCCCUUUUCCCCUCCUCCUUUCCCUUCCCCCCGCGCUCCCUCGGGCACUUUCGCUUUCGAGUCUCUCGAGCUGCGCCACAGCCGCGAUCGGGGACGGCUGCGAUGGCUCCAGCGCUGGGUCUGGGGGUGCUCUUGGGGCUCCUGGCGCUCCUGGGGGACCCGGGGUGCGCGACCAAAGUUCUCCAUUCCCGGCGCUUUCUUAAGGGUGUCCAAGGGGGUCCCAGCUGAUUCUCAGAGGGCUCCAGGGCGGUCGCAGCGGGGAUCCAGAGAGAUCCAGAGGGAUUCUCCGGAAUUCCCCCGUCCCCUCCCCUCCCCGCCCUUCUCGGUCCCUUUCGCUUCCGCGUCCCAACCUGAGAGACCGGGAUCUGCCCGGCGACUGGUGACGUCACUGACAUAUCGGGUUGCCAUUGGCGGACAGUAAAUAGCGGAGCCAAUGGCGGGGCCGGAGGCGGCCCUGUGGGCAGGGCCAGGGCUGUGGGCGGGGCCAGGGCUGAGCGCGGGGCUGUAGCGGAGCAGCGCCAUGGCUGCAGCGCUGGGUCUGGGGCUGCUCUUGGGGCUCCUCGGGGACCCGGGGGUCGCGACCAAAGGGCACUGGGACAUCUGUGAAUCUCCAUUUCCAGACACUGGGACUCCCCUGCACCCCCUUAUCUGGGACUGGGACCCCCCUCCACCCCCGUCAGUGCUCUGGGACCCCCUGCUCCCCUUUUCCGGCAUCCCGCUUUUCCCAGACCCCAGAGCCUUUGGAUCUUUUCCUUGACCUUUGGACCCCCCAGAUCUCCCAACUUUUUGUGUCCCCCCGUUUUCCACUCCCGCCCCUUCCCAAAACGGGGUCCCAG